This is a long non-coding RNA of Cloeon dipterum, 793 nucleotides long. RefSeq lists it as uncharacterized. The record is from RefSeq and is a predicted model, not a curated record. The transcript is spliced from 4 exons. NCBI's taxonomy places the organism in Eukaryota, Metazoa, Arthropoda, Insecta, Ephemeroptera, Baetidae.
UUUGUCGUGUUCACCGAGUUAGAGCUGGAGCAUGCGUCUUCUGUUGCUGCUGUUUUACUUUGCGCUGAGCAUCCCAUCAUAUUUUCCGAGCGGCGCGAGAACAGAAGCUGUAGCUGUAUUCCCAAUAGUUUACAUCGGAUCGUACUCUUCGAACCCAUUUGUUGAUCGAGAACUGUUUUCGCAAUUUCCUCAGAGGGCCUGCCCGUCAGGAUACGUUUACCAUCGGAGGAAAAAAAUCUGCGUGAAACCAAUUCCUUAAAUCAGGCCAAAGUGCAAGUACAGUCUGUAACACAUAUCGCCAGUGGUUGUGACCUCAUUUUUUAUAUAAAAAGCUCUCAUCGAGAGCUUUGCAAGAUAAAUAACAUCGUGGUUAAACUUAUUUCCUGGAAAACAAUUGAAAAACGUAAUUUUUAUACUUGCAGAUUAUUUACCAUCAUUCUCGAGGACGUUAUUGUUCAAACACAAAAAUGAUUUUCAAGCAUUUUUUCAUAUACUUAUUCAUUUUCAUUGGCACUAUGGCAGUUCUUUCCUUGGGCCAACCUUACUCAUCCAGUGAAGAGGACGAUGGAAAUUUGAAAUUCGAAGUCGACCCAGUUGGAACUGCACCUGACCGGUCCCUGUGCGGUAAAAACGAAUACUAUGACAAGAGGUCGAAAAAAUGCCGCAAAAUCCAUCAAACAAAGAAAAAGCGCAGCGAACUAUAACCGACAGUCGUUUUUAGCACAAAGCAAGAGUGGUGGUAUUCAGCAUGUUACUUUUUUAAACGAUGAAAUAAAUUGAGCAUAUUAGUCAA